This is a long non-coding RNA of Nannospalax galili (Upper Galilee mountains blind mole rat), 1395 nucleotides long. RefSeq lists it as uncharacterized. NCBI's taxonomy places the organism in Eukaryota, Metazoa, Chordata, Mammalia, Rodentia, Spalacidae. The record is from RefSeq and is a predicted model, not a curated record. The transcript has 3 exons.
GCCUCCACCAACACUGCACAACAUGGGUGCAUUUACACAUAUGCAGGCAAAACACUCAUACACAUAAAAAAAUCUAAUAUAAAGAAAAAAAUGUGUAAGUCCUAAUAAGGAAUUCUAUUUGGAUGAGGUAACUAUGAACUUCUUUUUCAUUUCUUUUUGAACUUUUGAGCCUAUUUCAGUUAGAAAGUGACUGUAGAUAAGUGAAAAUUUGAAAACCUUUUUAACCUGGAAAUUUCUGAGAAAUAAACACAGUUCCAGCCUUACCAAAGUUUAGUUCUCAGUGAUUCAUACUUAGGAGAAUCUACCACACCUAUCCUGAUUGGCACUAAGAGCAGGCAGAGCCAUCUUUCCUCACCCACUUUCUGUGCCGAGUCUGAGAGGGAAGGAACAGGAAGAAAAGGAAAAGUCCAGAAAGAAGCCGAAGAACUAGAACAACUAUGAAACUGGAUAUGCUGUAUAACAUGAGCUUCAGCUGGUCUGGAAACUAAAAUGUUCUGUCAGGGAUGGCUGAGUGUUGUACAGUCGCCUGCAUGCAUCCGUGAGUCCACAGCUGAGUGGGAGAGCAAGGAGAGGCAGGCAGUGAGCCAGCUAACAAGAGAAUGACAUUCUGCUAGCUCUUGUCAUGUGAUUCAUUGUCCACUGCACAGACUUCAGGCACUUCAGGCUGUCUCCAUAUCCACAUGGCUAUGACCCUGUGGUGCACUGUAUUGCAGUCCCUGACACAGGGCAACUCUGGUAUAGAGAGAAAAGCCCCGCUUUCUAGCCCUGACCUAGGGAGAAAGCACUUGACUCCUGAGAGGAGAGAAGACUUGUCAACAGCACCAGGAAUUCCAGAGCCAACAUUGCUGGGGCAACUCAGAGAAAACCUGUGAGAAGCCAUGGCAUGUCCAGCCUGGAGGACAAGCGCCAAGCACGUCACACUGUGGCCCAGCCCUGAGGAAAUCAGGAGGCUAUGCGGAGACCUAGGAGGGUUUUUGGCUCAGAGUCCUCUUUGGAGUUCCCAGGGUAGAUGCCUAGGCCCCAGGCUCAGCAAGCACAGGGGUGCAGGGCUUCCAUGUAUUUUUGCUUAAGUCUCCUCAGGGAAACAAAUUCUCUCCUGCUUGUAGUGAGAGGAAUGAAAUAACUAUGAAAAUUGUAAAAGUCUAUGUCCUUUGACCGAGUAAUUAAUUUCACUUCUAGGAAUUCCCUCUGCAAAGACAUGUGCACAUUGUGUGAUAAGUGACACAGCAAAAACUAGAGACAAACCCCUGUCCAAAAUGGUUCUUUUAAAACAGUUGUAUGUCUGGGCAAUGAAUGCUCUAUCUUUUAAAGAUGAGUAGGAGAGUGCUGUUCAAAUUGAGGUGGAAGCAGCUCCAAGAUGUAUAUUAAGUCAAAAAAUUAAAGAGCAGAACAGUG